UUCUGGUCUGUCAUGUGUAGUACCAAUGCAAAAAUGUUUUCUGUGCUUUUGCCAUAUCCAAUUAUUUGGUGAAUGGGGGAGUUGAUUAUUGGGGCUGUAAAUGUGUCCUGAUCCUCUGAGACCCAUUGCCGAGCAGGAGUGUUCCCUCUGAGGGGAGCAGGCUCCCAGGCGUGGGGCAGGACUGUCACAGCAGCCCUCAGCACAGCCGUGAGUGGCCAUUUCCAAAGGAGCCGAGCAGCGAUUCCAGAAGCAGCUCCAGAUGGCAGGAGAAGAAAGGAGGCCCCAGCCUGUCUGCACGUGUUUGCCAGGGAGCAAGGAACCAAUUGCAAUUCCUCAUUAAAAAUCACUUCUGCUUAAUUCCUGCAACUCCAGUUGUGGACACUGAACCUCAACCCUAAGCCUUGGUGAAUUGAAUGAACUGUGCUGAUCUCCUAAAUCACAUGGAACAUUCUCUCUCAGCUGGGCUCAGAAGACAAAUAUUGAGUCCCUCCUCAAGCAAGAGAACAAGAGAGCAGCUCCAUGCCACAAAGGAUUUCCAGUCUCCAUAAAAUGUUUUCACCCACUUUUUUUGUGCCUCUCCUUGUCUGCCCCUCCAGCAAAAAGGCAGUCAAUGUCAGAUAUUUAUUUUAGAUGUUUUCUCUCCCAAAACUCCUUGAAACUUCACUCUCAACAUUUGCUGAAUUUAGUACAAUGCAUGUAAAACUUUUCUGGCAGCUCUUACGCCUGUAGAUUUCACAAG
Molecule: long non-coding RNA, 739 nt
Organism: Serinus canaria (Common canary)
Lineage: Eukaryota; Metazoa; Chordata; Aves; Passeriformes; Fringillidae
Exons: 3
Source: RefSeq, a predicted model, not a curated record